AAGAGGUUGUUAUACAACUUAGGGAUCGAAUUCCACAAAGUUCUCGGAUCACACAAUAGACUAACAGUUUCGAGUUAAGCUAA
RNAcentral lists this small RNA (83 nucleotides) under Arabidopsis thaliana (thale cress). RNAcentral's name for it is "ATSL087330". The record is from RNAcentral. Lineage: Eukaryota; Viridiplantae; Streptophyta; Magnoliopsida; Brassicales; Brassicaceae.